UGUAACAAGGUUUCCGUAGGUGAACCUGCGGAAGGAUCAUUAUUGAAUAGUUAUUGGGCGCUGUGCUGGCCUUUCGGGGCAUGUGCACGCGUUCAUUUCUAUCUUUUCUUUUGUGAACCUAGUGUAGGCUUUGAAUGCGUGGACUUGGGGAAACCUGGGUUUGCAAGUUUGAAGACUAUUUUAUAAACGUCUAAAAAGUUAUUAGAAGGUCUUUUAUCUUUUGCUUCGGCGAAGGAAAACUAUACAACUUUCAGCAACGGAUCUCUUGGCUCUCCCAUCGAUGAAGAACGCAGCGAAAUGCGAUAACUAAUGUGAAUUGCAGAAUCCAGUGAAUCAUCGAGUCUUUGAACGCACCUUGCGCUCUUUGGAAUUCCGAAGGGCAUGCCUGUUUGAGUGUCAUUAAAUUCUCAACUUCGAUAGAUUCGUUUAUCGAGGCUUGGAUGUGAGGGUUUUUGCUGGCUUCCUUCAGUGGCGGUCUGCUCCCUUUAAAUGCAUUAGUGGGAUCCUUUGUGGACGGUUCACUUGGUGUGAUAAUCUAUCUACGCCUUGUAACUGGAAGCAAAACCUAUGGGAACCUGCUUAUAACCGUCUGUAAUGGACAAUGUUUUUGAAACUUGACCUCAAAUCAGGUAGGACUACCCGCUGAACUUAAGCAUAUCA
Molecule: ribosomal RNA, 660 nt
Filed under: Mycena kentingensis (nom. inval.)
Lineage: Eukaryota; Fungi; Basidiomycota; Agaricomycetes; Agaricales; Mycenaceae
Description: eukaryotic LSU rRNA
Rfam family: 5.8S ribosomal RNA (bases 246-399)
Source: RNAcentral